Molecule: ribosomal RNA, 510 nt
Filed under: Pedobacter sp. AT02-02
Lineage: Bacteria; Pseudomonadati; Bacteroidota; Sphingobacteriia; Sphingobacteriales; Sphingobacteriaceae
Description: bacterial SSU rRNA
Rfam family: Bacterial small subunit ribosomal RNA
Source: RNAcentral
CCAUGCCGCGUGCAGGAAGACAGCCCUCUGGGUCGUAAACUGCUUUUAUUCGGGAAUAAACCUAUCUACGUGUAGAUAGCUGAAUGUACCGAAGGAAUAAGGAUCGGCUAACUCCGUGCCAGCAGCCGCGGUAAUACGGAGGAUCCAAGCGUUAUCCGGAUUUAUUGGGUUUAAAGGGUGCGUAGGCGGCUUAUUAAGUCAGGGGUGAAAGACGGUGGCUCAACCAUCGCAGUGCCUUUGAUACUGAUGAGCUUGAAUAUACUAGAGGUAGGCGGAAUGUGACAAGUAGCGGUGAAAUGCAUAGAUAUGUCACAGAACACCGAUUGCGAAGGCAGCUUACUAUGGUAUUAUUGACGCUGAGGCACGAAAGCGUGGGGAUCAAACAGGAUUAGAUACCCUGGUAGUCCACGCCCUAAACGAUGAAUACUCGCUGUUAGCGAUAUACAGUUAGCGGCUAAGCGAAAGCGUUAAGUAUUCCACCUGGGGAGUACGCUCGCAAGAGUGAAACUC